This is a transfer RNA of Oryza sativa Japonica Group (Japanese rice), 72 nucleotides long. It matches the Rfam family "tRNA". Rfam says of the family: Transfer RNA (tRNA) molecules are approximately 80 nucleotides in length. Their secondary structure includes four short double-helical elements and three loops (D, anti-codon, and T loops). The record is from Rfam. NCBI's taxonomy places the organism in Eukaryota, Viridiplantae, Streptophyta, Magnoliopsida, Poales, Poaceae.
UCGGCAGUAGUUUAGUGGUGAGAAUUCCACGUUGUGGUCGUGGAGACCUGGGCUCGAAUCCCAGCAGACGAG